This 130-nucleotide small RNA is filed under the name Klebsiella pneumoniae. RNAcentral describes it as "RtT sRNA". It matches the Rfam family "RtT RNA". Rfam says of the family: This family represents a bacterial cis-regulatory element known as RtT RNA. The exact function of RtT is unknown although it is thought that it may be involved in changing the cellular response in relation to amino acid starvation. Lineage: Bacteria; Pseudomonadati; Pseudomonadota; Gammaproteobacteria; Enterobacterales; Enterobacteriaceae. The record is from RNAcentral. RNAcentral also lists the same sequence under 1 other name.
UUCUGCCCCACGGGGAAGGAUGAGAAGCUUCGACUAAGGUUCGACUCGAGCGAAGCGAGAGAACGUUGCCGCAGGCAACGGCCCGAAGGGCGAGGCGCUUUAGCGCCGAGUAAUCCUUCCCCCACCACUG